Molecule: ribosomal RNA, 468 nt
Filed under: uncultured bacterium
Lineage: Bacteria
Description: partial 16S ribosomal RNA
Rfam family: Bacterial small subunit ribosomal RNA
Source: RNAcentral
GACGAACGCUGGCGGCGUGCUUAACACAUGCAAGUCGAACGGAAAGGCCCUGCUUUUGUGGGGUGCUCGAGUGGCGAACGGGUGAGUAACACGUGAGUAACCUGCCCUUGACUUUGGGAUAACUUCAGGAAACUGGGGCUAAUACCGGAUAGGAGCUCCUGCUGCAUGGUGGGGGUUGGAAAGUUUCGGCGGUCGGGGAUGGACUCGCGGCUUAUCAGCUUGUUGGUGGGGUAGUGGCUUACCAAGGCUUUGACGGGUAGCCGGCCUGAGAGGGUGACCGGCCACAAUGGGACUGAGAUACGGCGCAGACUCCUACGGGAGGCAGCAGUGGGGAAUAUUGCACAAUGGGCGGAAGCCUGAUGCAGCAACGCCGCGGGCGGGAUGACGGCCUUCGGGUUAUAAACCGCUUUCGCCUGUGACGAAGCGUGAGUGACGGUAAUGAGUAAAGAAGCACCGGCUAACUACGUG